AUUGAACGCUGGCGGCAUGCCUUACACAUGCAAGUCGAACGGUAACAGGGAGCUUGCUCCGCUGACGAGUGGCGAACGGGUGAGUAAUGUAUCGGAACGUACCAUUCAGUGGGGGAUAACGUAGCGAAAGUUACGCUAAUACCGCAUAUUCUGUGAGCAGGAAAGCAGGGGAUCGCAAGACCUUGCGCUGAUUGAGCGGCCGAUAUCAGAUUAGCUAGUUGGUGAGGUAAAGGCUCACCAAGGCGACGAUCUGUAGCGGGUCUGAGAGGAUGAUCCGCCACACUGGAACUGAGACACGGUCCAGACUCCUACGGGAGGCAGCAGUGGGGAAUUUUGGACAAUGGGGGCAACCCUGAUCCAGCCAUGCCGCGUGAGUGAAGAAGGCCUCGGUUGUAAGACUCUUCGUCCGGAGAAGCGAAGUGACGGUACCGUGCAGAAGAAGCACCGGCUAACUACGUGCCAGCAGCGCGGU
This 472-nucleotide ribosomal RNA is filed under the name uncultured bacterium. Its description in RNAcentral is "bacterial SSU rRNA". It matches the Rfam family "Bacterial small subunit ribosomal RNA", at positions 30 to 521 of the family's 1533-position model. The record is from RNAcentral.